UCAGUUCUGUGUCUCGAUCAGUAAAGUGAGGCCAGCCCUGGCUGCGUGUCCCUCUAUGUCCGGCUGUCUAGCUCCGGCCCGGCUGGCUCCCGGAGGGGAACAGACAGUCCUGCUGCAGCAGGCAGGGGAAUUACACCCAAAACCCAGCGUCCCCACUUUGCUGCUGCCCCACAGCCAGUCGGGGCCUUUUACAGGAACUGCAUCCGCCCUGCACCUUCUCUCUGCUUGCACACACCCCUCCCGGGGUGAGGGAGAAACUCAACCUUCGCAGGUUGUUUCUGUUUCAUUCUGCAUCAUCCCUUCAGCCUCAGAGACGAGUCCAGCAAAGCCAGUUAAUCCCUAACACAAGCCGGGGCGGAUUUCCCACGGUGAAUUCCUCGACAGACGUCCCCCAGGGGCCUCCAGCGCGUAGGAACGAGCUCUCCACUGACUCCCUUCUCUACGUGACGCAUGGCGGUCAAUGUCAAACUCAUCCUGAUUGACAUCCUGGAAGAGCUGAGUGAGGAACAAUUCAAAAAAUUCAAAUGGCGUCUGGUGAAUGGAGAUGAUGACAAGACAAUACGCUAUUGCAAUUUGGAAUUAGCCGACCGGGAAAAGACCAUCGACGAGAUGCUGAGCCACUUUGAAAGCUCUGAUGCGGUGGAAAAAGCCAGGGAGGUCCUGGAAGCCGUACCUAGGAGAGAUCUCGCCGACAAGCUCAUGAAGAAAGUGCCAGUAGCAAAACAAGCUCGAGAGAGGAGAAAGGAGACGCUAAAGGAGCCCACAGAGGAGACGCUAAAGAAGACCACAGAGGAGGAGCUGAAGGAGCCCACAGAGGAGAAGCUAAAGAAGCUAGUGGAGCCCACAGAGAUAGAGCACAUAAGAGAAAUAUUGAUCAAUAACUAUUCAGAAGUGAAGAGGGCUUUUGUCCAACAGCGCCUUACUGCUAACCUCGAGACACUGAGAAAAGAUCAAUUUGAAAUGUUCAAAGAUGUGCUGUGCGAGACAUCCAUGAAGGACCUUGUCCGUGCAGGAGAUGAAUUUCUUGACGAACCCAAUACAUUCCAGAGGGACGCCAGCCUAGAAAACCUUGUCGAGGAUUUGAUAGGCAAAUUCGGCCGGACUUACGCACUGACAGCAGCUGCGACAGUGAUGGAAAAAAUAGGGAGAAGGGACCUCGCUAAAGAACUCCAGAGAGAAGAAGAAGUCCUGGAACCGACCCAGUGUCUGAGAAGAAAACCAAAAGGUGAAGUAGACCCAAAAGAGAAGUAGGAGAAGGUGUAUCUCUUAUAGGAGCCGGAGCUGUAGGAGGACUAUUUUCAGCAUUAGUAGCAGCCCCUAGGGCACCGCUGGCUUUUCCAGUUCCAGUCGCAGUAACAGCAGGUGUAGCAAUAGCGUGGGAGUAAAAUUCCUUUUUGACUGACAGCAAAGCCGCUGUAGGUUCCUUUUGCAGAUGGCUCUGAGAUUUUCCCUUCACUGCAUCCUACCCCCGGCUUCCUUCUAAGACAUCGCAGAGUUGGAAAGACACAGCCGCAAAUGCUGAUCUGAGCCCUCUAGCGAAUUCGAUAAAACGGCGAAUGCUUCUGUGACGUUGCACUCUAUAUGAUUUUAUGAAAAUAUGCUAAUGAGGGUGAAUAUACUGUAACUGGAAUAUGCUUCAUGCAAAAGGUCUCUUGUAAGGUAUCAUUACAAAGCUUAUAAUCUACUGAGUGUGAUCAUCCGAUUUGUAUAAAUGUAGCACUCGUGUAUCUGAAAUGAGAAAUAUGAAAUAUAACUCUGAGGGCCUGUUCUAAUUAUGCAAAGUGUGGGCCAUUAACGAUGGUUUGGAAUCUUGAUGGCUCCCAUCAACCAGGACAAUUGACUGUGGAUGGCUCUGUUUGCUGGCAGGCCUUCCUGGGAGUCAGGCUGGGAGGAAUGAGGGCUUGGGGGGGGGGUCUCCUAGGUCAUGUGAUCAUGUCACCUGAACUGGAAUCCAUCUUUAACCUGGUGCUUUUCCGUUGAGGAGGAGGGGUGGGAACCCAGAGAAGGAUAAAGGAUUCCCACCUUGUGCAAAAGAUAUAUAGGGGGGUGGAACAGAACAAAGGGGGCUGCAGUCAUGAGAAAUCCCCUAGCUACCACCUGAGCUGGAACAAGGGCUGGACCAGGAGGAAGGAUUGGGCCCAGACUAGGAAGGCGUCCAGUCUGUGAUAGAAACUUAUUGCAACAUCUGAGGGUGAGAUUUUAUCUGUAUUCAGUUUUCUUACUGUAUUAGGCUUAGACGUGUGUGUUUAUUACUUUAUUUUGCUGGUAAUUCACUUUGUUCUAUCUGUUAUUACUUGGAACCACUUAAAUCUUACUUUUUGUAUUUAAUAAAAUCACUUUUUACUUAUU
Malaclemys terrapin pileata is the source of this 2349-nucleotide RNA transcript. RefSeq lists it as uncharacterized. NCBI's taxonomy places the organism in Eukaryota, Metazoa, Chordata, Testudines, Emydidae. The transcript has 6 exons. The record is from RefSeq and is a predicted model, not a curated record.